RNAcentral lists this non-coding RNA (160 nucleotides) under uncultured Fusobacterium sp. Lineage: Bacteria; Fusobacteriati; Fusobacteriota; Fusobacteriia; Fusobacteriales; Fusobacteriaceae. The record is from RNAcentral.
UGUUUUUAAGGUUCUAUUUUUAGAUUAAUUGGGAAGAGAGGUUAUAUUCCUCCACGGUCCCGCCACUGUGAUGUUGAUGAACGGAAAAGCCACUGACUAUUUUGUUGGGAAGGCACCUAGUAAGAUGAUGCUAAGUCAGGAGACCUGCCUUAAAAAUUUU